This 468-nucleotide ribosomal RNA is filed under the name uncultured bacterium. RNAcentral describes it as "partial 16S ribosomal RNA". It matches the Rfam family "Bacterial small subunit ribosomal RNA", at positions 28 to 507 of the family's 1533-position model. The record is from RNAcentral.
GACGAACGCUGGCGGCGUGCUUAACACAUGCAAGUCGAACGGAAAGGCCCUGCUUUUGUUGGGUGCUCGAGUGGCGAACGGGUGAGUAACACGUGAGUAACCUGCCCUUGACUUUGGGAUAACUUCAGGAAACUGGGGCUCAUACCCGAUAGGAUCUCCUGCUGCAUGGUGGGGGUAGGAAAGAUUCGGCGGUUGGGGAGUUACUUGCGGCUUCUCAGCUUCAUGGUGUGGUAGUUGCUUACCAAGGCUUUGACGGGUAGCCGGCCUGAUAUGUUGACCGGCUACAUUGGGACUGAGAUACGGCCCAGACUCCUACGGGAGGCAGCAGUCGGGAACAUUGCACACUGGGCGGAAGCCUGAUGCAGCGACGCCGCGUGCGGGAUGACGGCCUUCGGGUUGUAAACCGCUUUCGCCUGUGACGAAGCGUGAGUGACGGUAAUGGGUAAAGAAGCACCGGCUAACUACGUG